Molecule: non-coding RNA, 95 nt
Filed under: unclassified sequences
Source: RNAcentral
GUCUCCAGAGAUAAUAACCUUUACGUGGUUGGAGAUAUAAGUACACAGUAUAUAAGCCUUUUUGACCUCUGUAUAUGUGGAAACUAAUAAUUAUC